This is a long non-coding RNA of Micropterus dolomieu (smallmouth bass), 944 nucleotides long. RefSeq lists it as uncharacterized. Lineage: Eukaryota; Metazoa; Chordata; Actinopteri; Centrarchiformes; Centrarchidae. The record is from RefSeq and is a predicted model, not a curated record. The transcript has 3 exons.
CUCGGACCUGCUGUCUUCAUCACGUCUGUCGUCCUCUUCCUUAGCAUUGACUUCCUCAUCAUGUCUUUUCCCCUGAUCAGAGUACUGAUGAUCUAUUUGUUUAUCUUCACAGACACCUAAGACAGGCCUCACUGCUGGAUAACCUCUGCACAUAUCAUAAACGGUGGCUUUUACAGUGCUGAGAAACCUUCAAGUUAAUGAAAGUGAAACACUCUCAUGCAGCACAUAUUUACACCCAAGAUUUGAGUCCAGAAAGACUGAACCGACAGGGAAGGAGAAAGCGAGCAGGCGUGAGGAUGACUCACUCUUUUAGGAAGGCUGUGAUGAGCGUCAACAUGAGUCACACCAGGGAUUUGUUCACAGACACACUCCCAAACCAAAACGAGACACACAGAUGGCACAUGCCAGAUCUGCACUCCCCUGCAUCAAAGCAGUUUUCAUUUCUGAUGGGUAUCAGAAGUACUGAGCGUGUCAGGUUUAGGGACAAUACACAGCAAAGUGUCCUGAACCCUGAUGCUGGGACAAAAAAACACAGCAGAGUGGCAUCAUGUCCUACAUAAGGACACCUCAGGUCUGUAACAGUGCUAUGUAUUGGUGCUAUGGUUUCUCUCAUUUUAAUAUACCAUUUAAUAAACUUUAUUGUAAACUGAUUUAGAACAGUGGUAAAGCUGUUGGAUGUUUAUUUAAGGUGUCCUGCAAUGCAGUUGUAAUGACACCUGCUAGCCAAUCAGAAACAAUUACUUUCAAUGGCAAUGACAUCUGCCCAUUACAGAAAGCAAAAGCUGCUUCGAUGUUCAUAUGUGCACCUGACUAUUGCUUUAGGUCAGACUUCACAAAUUGUUAACCCAUCCCAUGCUUUAUUCCAUUCCAUAUGCCAGGCUCCCUUUAAUGACUAAUGCGAUGUAUGCACUGUAUGUACUGUCUAUUUUCUACCCAUUCCUUUG